CCUACGGGAGGCAGCAGUGAGGAAUAUUGGUCAAUGGUCGAGAGUCUGAACCAGCCAAGUAGCGUGAAGGAUGACUGCCCUAUGGGUUGUAAACUUCUUUUAUAUGGGAAUAAAAUGUUCCACGUGUGGGAUUUUGUAUGUACCAUAUGAAUAAGGAUCGGCUAACUCCGUGCCAGCAGCCGCGGUAAUACGGAGGAUCCGAGCGUUAUCCGGAUUUAUUGGGUUUAAAGGGAGCGUAGGUGGAUUGUUAAGUCAGUUGUGAAAGUUUGCGGCUCAACCGUAAAAUUGCAGUUGAAACUGGCAGUCUUGAGUACAGUAGAGGUGGGCGGAAUUCGUGGUGUAGCGGUGAAAUGCUUAGAUAUCACGAAGAACUCCGAUUGCGAAGGCAGUUCACUGGACUGCAACUGACACUGAGGCUCGAAAGUGUGGGUAUCAAACAGGAUUAGAUACCCGUGUAGUC
RNAcentral lists this ribosomal RNA (460 nucleotides) under uncultured bacterium. RNAcentral describes it as "partial 16S ribosomal RNA". It matches the Rfam family "Bacterial small subunit ribosomal RNA", at positions 338 to 795 of the family's 1533-position model. The record is from RNAcentral.